Molecule: small nucleolar RNA, 103 nt
Filed under: Sorghum bicolor (sorghum)
Lineage: Eukaryota; Viridiplantae; Streptophyta; Magnoliopsida; Poales; Poaceae
Description: Plant small nucleolar RNA R71
Rfam family: Plant small nucleolar RNA R71
About the family: R71 is a member of the C/D box family of snoRNAs containing the C (UGAUGA) and D (CUGA) box motifs.
Source: Rfam by way of RNAcentral
AUUCCAUGAUGGGGACAUUCUAGGAUGUAGUCUUGAAAGCGCUCCCAUGCUUCUGGAACAGAUUCAUCAUUUUGUUGCUACUUGUAAUCUUCCCACGGAGAGC